AGCCGAUGAAGGACGUUACUAACGACGAUAUGCUUUGGGUAGCUGUAAGUAAGCGUUGAUCCAGAGAUUUCCGAAUGGGGGAACCCAGCAUGAGUUAUGUCAUGUUAUCGACAUGUGAAUUCAUAGCAUGUCAGAAGGCAGACCCGGAGAACUGAAACAUCUUAGUACCCGGAGGAAGAGAAAGAAAAAUCGAUUCCCUGAGUAGCGGCGAGCGAAACGGGAGGAGCCCAAACCAACAAGCUU
RNAcentral lists this ribosomal RNA (243 nucleotides) under Staphylococcus epidermidis. RNAcentral describes it as "partial 23S ribosomal RNA". It matches the Rfam family "Bacterial large subunit ribosomal RNA", at positions 44 to 284 of the family's 2925-position model. The record is from RNAcentral. Lineage: Bacteria; Bacillati; Bacillota; Bacilli; Caryophanales; Staphylococcaceae.